ACUCUGUUCACAUAUUUUCUCAAAUAUUAGGCGUUUUAUUUAUAAAAUGACAUUAGUGUAUCUCUAGUAUUCACGAUUUGAUCUUAUUUGAUGGUAAAAUGGCACCGAAGAGAAAAGCUCGGUUGGCAACAGAAAGAGGGAAAGGAAAGGUACCUACAUUGACGAAGCUGUAAUUCAUCGAUUCUUGACUACGGAGAACCAAAAGCUCUUUAACAACACGAUCACGCAAUGGAAGUGGUGGCCCAAACAGAUAGUGAUUCUAACAGACUUCAUGAAUUUGGAGAUGACUAAUGUCAUUGAAGCCUUCGGUAGGAAGAAUGUUGCCAAGAUGUCACAUCCAGUUUACCUAUUACUAGUGAAGGAACUUUUGGAAAAUGUUAAAGCCGAGCUUGACAGUCCAACUCUUUUCAUUACCAUUAGACUUGGGUCGGAGACAAGGGGGUUAUGUUUAGUCCCGAGGAGAUAGCUCAUUGUUAGGGGUGGGAAGAACAUUAUACACCUCCCGAGUGAUCAUCACAUGAUCGAGGUCAAACAUUAUUUGAAUGGUCAGGACAAGGCGUGUCCACUCAACUACUAAGGAAUUUGAGCACAACCAGUUCAUAGAUGUGCUGGUUAUUCUUCACAUGUUCAUGUGCUACAACAUUGAUCAUACUUUGCACUUGACGAAAUAAAUGAAGUGAAGGCUCGAUUGUCAUAUUAUUUGGCACACGGAGAUAAGAUUGAUUUGGGAUGCAAAAUCUACACUCUUUUCACUACUUUAGUUGUGUUGGAAAAUACAAGUUGCUGGUCCCGACCUACAAGUUAUUAAAAUGGAUUGGAGGAAUGGUUUGAAUAAAAUUCAAAUUCAUA
This 849-nucleotide long non-coding RNA is filed under the name Olea europaea (common olive). RNAcentral's name for it is "long non-coding RNA (OEUR_LNC001209)". Lineage: Eukaryota; Viridiplantae; Streptophyta; Magnoliopsida; Lamiales; Oleaceae. The record is from RNAcentral.